Molecule: RNA transcript, 4320 nt
Organism: Crotalus tigris (Tiger rattlesnake)
Lineage: Eukaryota; Metazoa; Chordata; Lepidosauria; Squamata; Viperidae
Gene: NR1H2
Gene name: nuclear receptor subfamily 1 group H member 2
Exons: 11
Source: RefSeq, a predicted model, not a curated record
UGGUUUCCCACGUUGAAAAGGAAGUGACGCCUGCUCAGGGUUCCCGGAAGCGCCUUGCUUCUGUAUGCGAAAAAAGUGUUUUCACUGGUUUAGGCAAGUGGUGGGACUCCGUGAGAGCAGAAGGUAAAGAGUGGUCUCGAAGUAUGGCUACAUUUUACCUUCAUACAGUAAUUUGGUCACCUGUACCUCCUUCCUAAUAACUGCUGCUGUGCCCCCUCCGUAAACCCUGCUAUGUGAUUGUAUAUUAGUUGAAUAUCUUUCCCUAUUGGGGGGGCAGGAAAGAAUUGGUUAUUUGAGGGUGCACUUGGGUGCAUACGGAGACUUUUUUCUAUCAGGCAGGGGAAUACAACUUUUGAGGUAAAGUACUUCUCCCAGAACAAGACGGAGAAUGGUAGGACUUUUGUCUUUCCCAAGGAAAUGAAAGAGGACUUAAGAAGCUGAGCUCGAAGGAACUGUUUUUUUGUCUGAUUCCAAAGCUAGCUAUAUAAUGCUGCUGUGGCUCAUGCCCUGAGAUGGCCAAAACAGGCACUGAUGAACCUCAGUUAUCACAAGAAACAGAGCCAACUUCACAGGUCAAAAAAGAAUGGUCAGUGGCAAAGACAGAGUCCCAGAACACAGUGAAAAUUGAAGUAAUUUGCACAGAUGAUGGCGAAAGUUCUACGCACAGCACUGCUGAGGAGCCAGCCCGCAAACGCAAAAAGGGACCUGCCCCCAAGAUGUUGGGGGAUGAAGUCUGCAGCGUGUGCGGGGACAAGGCCUCGGGUUUUCACUAUAAUGUCCUGAGUUGUGAGGGCUGUAAGGGCUUCUUCCGGCGCAGCCUCAUCAAAGGAGCUCAGUACACCUGCAAGGGCAGUGGGCAAUGCCACAUGGACAUGUACAUGCGCCGGAAGUGUCAGGAAUGCCGGUUGAAAAAAUGCCGACAAGCAGGCAUGCGAGAAGAAUGUGUCCUUUCAGAAGAGCAAAUCCGCAAGAAGAAGAUCUCUAAACACGAGGGUGAUACGGUUCCAGCUGAGGAGAGAGAUGGAGAUGAAGUACUUCGAGUGCCUCCAUUGCUCUGUGAUCCUGCUUUAUCCCAGCCUGAGCCAGUUCCUCUUACCCCACAGCAGGAAGGCAUGAUCCAGCAGUUGGUGGCGGCCCAACAACAGUGCAACAAGAGGAGCUUUAGCGAUCAGCCCAAAGUCACGCCCUGGCCAAUGAGCAGUGACCCCAACAGCCGGGAAGCCCGCCAGCAGCGCUUUGCCCAUUUUACCGAAUUAGCCAUCAUCUCAGUGCAAGAGAUUGUGGACUUUGCCAAGCAAGUACCCGGCUUCCUGCAGCUCUCGCGGGAAGACCAAAUUGCUCUGCUAAAGGCUUCUACCAUUGAGAUCAUGUUACUGGAGACAGCCCGGCGCUAUAAUCAUGAGACUCAGUGCAUUACAUUUCUUAAAGAUUUCACAUACAGCAAGGAUGACUUUCACCGUGCAGGUCUUCAAGUUGAAUUCAUCAAUCCUAUAUUUGAGUUUUCCCGGGCCAUGCGAGAGUUGCAACUGGAUGAUGCCGAAUAUGCCCUCCUCAUUGCGAUCAACAUCUUCUCUGCUGACAGGCCCAACGUGCAGGACCAUGGCCUGGUAGAGGCAUUGCAGCAGCCCUACAUUGAGGCCCUCAGUUCUUACAUCCACCUCAAUCGCCCACAGGACCACCUGAUGUUCCCCCGCAUGCUGAUGAAGCUGGUGAGCCUGAGGACUUUGAGCAGUGUGCACUCAGAGCAGGUCUUUGCUUUGCGCCUUCAAGACAAGAAGCUUCCGCCACUUCUGUCUGAGAUUUGGGACGUACAUGAAUAGACAUUUUGAAUGGAAUGGGGAAGAGGUUGACCUCUCCCAGCAGCACCAGCAGACACGCUUCCCCAUAGCGAGUCUUUGGAUUCAGCAUAAGCCUUACAAUGGUUGGACUGGGAUCCUGCCAAAAGAAUUGAGUCAAGGCCUGCCACGUUUCUUCCUGCUGCUGAAAUUCAGUAGGAAAUCACCAAGAGACAAUGGGCUGAUUUCUUUCAAAAUGAGAACUGUAACAGGUAUGAUAUGUCUCCAACAGACGUAGCAGACCCACUGAAGGCCCCCAGAUGGGAAAACUGCUUCCACCCCUUCUAGGGAUGUUGCCACAUCCCUAUUAAUAUUUUCUUCCUGGAAAAAUGUUUAUUUAAAAACAACAAAAGUUUUUCUUCCCAUCAUAACAGGACAGUACCUUACUGUCAGGACCCUUUUAGAGGGAGGCAAUGGCACACAUUUGCUUAUUUGCACACAUUUGCUUAUGUAAUUAAUUUCUAAGCCUGCCCACUUGCCAAUAAUUCUGGGUUAUCUUCCAAAGAGUUAAGAAAAAUCAAUUAAAAAGUCAACUGUCUUCUUAAAAGCCAACAGGCUUGAGGCCACAUGGAUUUCAAGAGAGGAAUCCCUAUCCAAAGCACAGUUCAGUGUUCAAAAUAACCAGAUCAAUAUUUUUCAUCUGAGGCAAUCAAACUAAUCCAUUAAAAUAGAUUCCCCCCCCAAAUUUCAAUCUUUCUAUUUACUGAACCAUUAUACUUGUGACAGAACAAGAAUCCUAAGAUUGGAAGGGAACGCAAGCCACUGCUCAGAGCAAUUUGGGCAGUGGCUUGGACAAAUUGCUACCCAACCUUUGCUUAAAAACCUCCAGUGUUGGAAAACCCAUAACUCCUGGAGGCAAGUGAUUCCAUCACUUUGUAGACUUCACAACUAAAAAAAUUCUUCCUUAUUUUAGAUUUGAAUUUCCCUUGGUUUAUCUUCCAUGCAUUGUUUCUUGGUCAAUCCUUGAGUACUGUGAUUAAUAAAUCCACAUCCUCUUCCCUAUAAAAGUCCUUCAAGUAUUGGAAAAAUGCUGUCAAAUAUCCCCUUGGUUUUAUUUUUUAUGCCAAACAAUACCCGAUUCUUUUUACCAUUCUUCAGAGCCUCCAUGCCUCUCACCCUCUCUGUAGCUGUUCUUUGCACUCUUUCCCUUCCAUAGCAUGGGAUUUUGAAAACUGCAGCUGUCUUUUGAAGUGUUAGCUAUCCUCAUCCCUUCUAUACUCUUGUCUAGGUCAUUUAUGAAAAUAUUGAAGAGCCCUAAACCCAAGACAGGACCUUGAGAUACCCCACUACAUACCUUCCAUCAUGUAGAUAUAGAUUUCUUUAUUGGGUAUGAUUGCUCAACCAACUAUGAAUUCAUCUGGUAAUGGAACCAUCCUUCCCAUAUUGUUCUAUUUUAUCAAGAAGGAAGUUGUGGUCAACGUUAUUAUAUGCCUUGCUGAAGUCUAAGUAUACAAUAUCUAUACCAUUCCUUUGGUUUACUGAUUAGUCAACUUUUUAAAAAACUAACUAAAUAAAAAUAUUUAUCUGGCAUGAUCUAUUUUGAAAAAUCCAUGCUGCCUUCUAGCAUUAUCAUGUUCCUUUCUAAGUGCUUGCUAACCCACUACUUGAUUAUUUUUUCCAUUUCUCCAAAUAUCCGAAAUGGAAGUGAAUAAAACACAUUGAUGUAGGAUACUCUGCUGACAGGGAAACAUUCAAAUUAAUAUGCUAUUUCUGGGCUCUCCAAAAUCUUUGAAAUACUCCGGCCACUGCUGCAGUUAUACCAAGAAACUUGCUAUGAUAAGUGUGAUUCUGGUGACAGCCAUUAGAUGGGAUAAGGUAAAAUAUUUUUGAGAUGAGUCCAAGUAAUCCCUUGUUUUACUUGAAAAGAAAUCCUCAGUUUUGGUUCAAACAAAGCUUAUAAUUACAGAAGGAAUUGGCAGAGUUAAUUAUCUCAUACUGGUUUCAAAGAGAGCAGAAAGAUGAUUGUAUUUAUUUACUUCCUGCCUUUAUUAUUUUUAUAAAUAACUCAAGGCAAUGAACACAAUAUUACUUCCUUCUCCUAUUUCCCCCACUACAACAACUUCGUGAGGCUGAGAAAGAAUGAUUGGCCCAAAGUUGCCCAGCUACUUUUCAGGCCUAAGUCAGGAUUAGAACUCGGUCUCUUGGCUUCUGGUGCCUUAACCACUAGACUAAACUGGCUAUCAUAUUAACUCAUGUUCAAAACCUUGCAGAACUCCCCCCCCCACCUUCUUCCACUUUCCUAUUUCUCAUCUUGCUGUGGCUGUCAAACCUUUCAAACUAAUCAAUUUGUGGGAACCUUUUAUGAAAAAUCACUGUUUUAAAAAUGACAUGAAAAAGUAGAUUUCCAGAUGACCCAGUUUUGAUGAAAAGCCUAAUUAAAAUAAUUUUACGCUGAUACCAAAAGUUAUCACAUGGGUCUUUUCUUCUGUCCCUCCAUCAAUUAACUUUUUUAACUAAAUAAAUGUUUAGUUUGUUUUAAUUACCA